UAAAUUGCCUAGGGAAGUUGUGGAAUUUCCAUCGUUGGAGAUUUUUAAGAGCAAGUUAGACAAACACCUGUAAGGGAUGGUCUAGAUAAUACUUAGUCCUGCCAUGAGUGCAGGGGACUGUACUUGAAGACCUCUCUAGGUCCCUUCCAAUUCUGGAAUUUG
Dermochelys coriacea (leatherback sea turtle) is the source of this 162-nucleotide long non-coding RNA. RefSeq lists it as uncharacterized. Lineage: Eukaryota; Metazoa; Chordata; Testudines; Dermochelyidae. The record is from RefSeq and is a predicted model, not a curated record. The transcript is spliced from 3 exons.